This 844-nucleotide long non-coding RNA is filed under the name Felis catus (domestic cat). RNAcentral describes it as "lncRNA (ENSFCAG00000052639.1)". The record is from RNAcentral. Lineage: Eukaryota; Metazoa; Chordata; Mammalia; Carnivora; Felidae.
UGGCUCCUCUCGCUGCACAAGAAAACCUGAUUGCAACAGGAGAUGGAAAUGCAAGCUAGACGUAUCUGAGGAGUAACACUGACAAAGAGAUUGAGAAGUGAGGUUUUCCAGGGCCCAGCCAAAGACCGGAGCCCCCACCACCAGGUGUUUGCGAGGCACAGACCACGGAGAAGAAGAGGCUGGGUAAGCAGAAAGCCUGUGUUCACAGAGGCCACCAUUGGAGAUGGGGGUGAUGAGGGAGGGGAGGAAAACGCGAGUCAGGCUGACAGCACCUGCCCAGGGGCUUCUACAGAAAGGCUCAUCUCCCCUUUCUGGAUUCUUCCCUCGCUCUACCACAGGUGCCUAGUGUCCCACUCUUCAGCAUAUUAACCACGUCUUUGAUUGUCUAUCUACUGACCCGUUGACCUUUGGGGCCUUGUGACCCUGGAGGGAGGGACUCUUCCAGAGCAGGCCAGUUCCUAGAGAUAGUAAACAACUCCCUUCCAAGGGCGCUUGUCAAAUACGACACAACCAAUCCAGGGUCCACGCCCUGACACCUCCUUUCCUGAGCUUUCAUGCUCUGGGCCACUCUGCACCCCACGGCCAGCUACCAGACAGCCGUGGGCAGCCCCUACUCUUCAGAGCCCCCCAAAGUUACUCAAACUAGCCAGUCCUAAAUAGCUCCCCCUGCCUUGCUCGGCCUCUCCUGCACAAACUACGCUAAAGGCUCUGGCCCACAACUGGCCUCCUUCUCCCUCUUCCUCUUGGCCAACCCUCCUGCCCUCCUGCCCUCACGUGCGGCCCUCGUGGUGUGGCAUGCCUUCUCCUCUGUGGGACUCUGAGGAACACACUAUCUUUUCAGUGG